CGGAGGGCGCUGUUGGGUGUUCUCUUUGUGCUCGGACAUGGCGGCGAUGUGUAGCCUGCUGUGUGGUGCAAUCCCCGUCCAUCCUCCCACGCUGGAUGCCGGUGUCCCUCGAACGCCUCCCGGAGCCCUCCGGUGACUUAUCCCGGAGAUGACCCGGUGGAAACCGAAGGGCCCAGACCCCUGGCGGGAAGCCUCCGGAAGUAUCGCGGUAUGGGAUGUGAAGAUAAAGUAACCCUUUCAAGGAGUGCCUCCAGAAGAAUUAAUAACCAGUGGCUGAAUGUCACUUGAAUGGCAAACCUCACACAGCCUUCGGAAAUGAUGGGACAAUGUGUUAUCAGGCUGGGAGUCCUGCACGCACUAGGUCUGACUACGCAUGGACUACUCAGCUUGAAUGGAGGAUGCUCAUCUCGGUGCAUGGUGACAAGAGGAAAGUGCUGUCAGAUGGAAUUAUUUUGUGAUAAGACUCAAUACUUCUAUGAAGUUUGGAUAACUCCCUUUAACUAGCUAAAAGCUCUGUAUUGACUAAGUUUCAUAUUUACUGUAACUUAAGUGACCUAACACACCUGGCAAACUGCUGUAAAUAAAGGAAACUACUGUUUAUCUGCUUACUUUGUUUCCCAUCUGGUUUCUAUUUGCCAAAUAAACAGCAAACUGGGUAUUAUGC
This is a long non-coding RNA of Hyla sarda, 664 nucleotides long. RefSeq lists it as uncharacterized. Lineage: Eukaryota; Metazoa; Chordata; Amphibia; Anura; Hylidae. The transcript has 8 exons. The record is from RefSeq and is a predicted model, not a curated record.